CAGCAGCCGCGGUAAUACGUAGGGUGCAAGCGUUAAUCGGAAUUACUGGGCGUAAAGCGUGCGCAGGCGGUCCGCUAAGACAGAUGUGAAAUCCCCGGGCUUAACCUGGGAACUGCAUUUGUGACUGGCGGGCUAGAGUAUGGCAGAGGGGGGUAGAAUUCCACGUGUAGCAGUGAAAUGCGUAGAGAUGUGGAGGAACACCGAUGGCGAAGGCAGCCCCCUGGGCCAAUACUGACGCUCAUGCACGAAAGCGUGGGGAGUAAACAGGAUUAGAUACCCGCGUAGUCCCUGUCUCUUAUAC
RNAcentral lists this ribosomal RNA (301 nucleotides) under uncultured bacterium. RNAcentral's name for it is "partial 16S ribosomal RNA". It matches the Rfam family "Bacterial small subunit ribosomal RNA", at positions 509 to 807 of the family's 1533-position model. The record is from RNAcentral.